AAAACAUGUYUUUAAGAUAAAUAAUUUAAAGUYUAAUYUGCUCCMUGAUUUAAUAUUAAAUAGCUGCAGAAUUUUAACUGUACAAAGGUAGCAUAAUCAAUAGUUUUUUAAUUGAAAGCUGGAAUGAAGGAUUUGAUAAGGUAAAUAUUGUCUCAAAUUUAAUGAAAUUAUAAUUUUUUUUUUAGUUAAAAUACUAAAUUAAAUUUAAAAGACGAGAAGACCCUAUAGAUUUUUAUACUUUAAAUUAAAUUAAUUAAUAUUUUUUAUAAAUAAUGUAAUUGAAAAGUAUUAGGUUGGGGAAAUUAUUAAAUUAAAUAAAUUUUAAUUAAAAUAUAACAAUAAUUAUUGAAUUUAUGAUCUUGGAAAUUUAAAUUAUUAGAAUAAAUUACCUUAGGGAUAACAGCGUAAUUUUUUUGGAGAGAUCUUAUUGAUAAAAAAGUUUGCGACCUCGAUGUUGAAUUAAGAUAAAAUUUUAAUGUAGAAAUUAAAAAGUUUUG
This 497-nucleotide ribosomal RNA is filed under the name Xiphonychidion horsti. RNAcentral describes it as "partial 16S large subunit ribosomal RNA". Lineage: Eukaryota; Metazoa; Arthropoda; Insecta; Hymenoptera; Ichneumonidae. The record is from RNAcentral.